Molecule: non-coding RNA, 23 nt
Filed under: Arabidopsis thaliana (thale cress)
Lineage: Eukaryota; Viridiplantae; Streptophyta; Magnoliopsida; Brassicales; Brassicaceae
Source: RNAcentral
GGCUUUGUGUCUUCUAACAAGGA